UACGAAGGGGGCUAGCGUUGCUCGGAAUCACUGGGCGUAAAGCGCACGUAGGCGGAUCUUUAAGUCAGGGGUGAAAUCCCGAGGCUCAACCUCGGAACUGCCUUUGAUACUGGGGAUCUCGAGUCCGGAAGAGGUUGGUGGAACUCCGAGUGUAGAGGUGAAAUUCGUAGAUAUUCGGAAGAACACCAGUGGCGAAGGCGGAUCUCUGGGCCGAUACUGACGCUGAGGAGCGAAAGCGUGGGGAGCGAACAGG
This 253-nucleotide ribosomal RNA is filed under the name uncultured bacterium. Its description in RNAcentral is "partial 16S ribosomal RNA". It matches the Rfam family "Bacterial small subunit ribosomal RNA", at positions 524 to 776 of the family's 1533-position model. The record is from RNAcentral.